UACGAAGGUCCCAAGCGUUAUCCGGAUUUAUUGGGCUUAAAGGGUGCGUAGGCGGUCUAUUAAGUCAGUGGUGAAAGCCCCAAGCUUAACUUGGGAACUGCCAUUGAUACUGAUGGUCUUGAGUACAUUUGAGGUGGGCGGAAUGUGUCAUGUAGCGGUGAAAUGCUUAGAUAUGACACAGAACACCGAUUGCGAAGGCAGCUCACUAAGCUGUAACUGACGCUGAGGCACGAAAGCGUGGGGAGCAAACAGG
RNAcentral lists this ribosomal RNA (253 nucleotides) under uncultured bacterium. Its description in RNAcentral is "partial 16S ribosomal RNA". It matches the Rfam family "Bacterial small subunit ribosomal RNA", at positions 524 to 776 of the family's 1533-position model. The record is from RNAcentral.